This 468-nucleotide ribosomal RNA is filed under the name uncultured bacterium. RNAcentral describes it as "partial 16S ribosomal RNA". It matches the Rfam family "Bacterial small subunit ribosomal RNA", at positions 28 to 507 of the family's 1533-position model. The record is from RNAcentral.
GACGAACGCUGGCGGCGUGCUUAACACAUGCAAGUCGAACGGAAAGGCCCUGCUUUUGUGGUGUGCUCGAGUGGCGAACGGGUGAGUAACACGUGAGUAACCUGCCCUUGACUUUGGGAUAACUUCAGGAAACUGGGGCUAAUACCGGAUAGGAGCUCCUGCUGCAUGGUGGGGGUUGGAAAGUUUCGGCGGUUGGGGAUGGACUCGCGGCUUAUCAGCUUGUUGGUGGGGUAGUGGCUUACCAAGGCUUUGACGGGUAGCCGGCCUGGGAGGGUGACCGGCCACAUUGGGACUGAGAUACGGCCCAGACUCCUACGGGAGGCAGCAGUGGGGAAUAUUGCACAAUGGGCGGAAGCCUGAUGAAGCAACGCCGCGUGCGGGAUGACGGCCUUCGGGUUGUAAACCGCUUUCGCCUGUGACGAAGCGUGAGUGACGGUAAUGGGUAAAGAAGCACCGGCUAACUACGUG